This 743-nucleotide long non-coding RNA is filed under the name Homo sapiens (human). RNAcentral describes it as "HSALNT0144196". Lineage: Eukaryota; Metazoa; Chordata; Mammalia; Primates; Hominidae. The record is from RNAcentral.
UUCUGCCUUCCCUCACAGAGAAAGGCACUGGGCUGAUGGCGUGUUAAAGGCACACAGGACUGAUUCUUCAUCCCUUUGGUCCUCAGCCUAGAAGGCCCAGAUUCACAUGUACCUGGCCAAACGAACAACUCCAUGUUUUCCAAAAGGCUUGGAGAACAUACCAGGUACCUCUCCUCUUUCCCUUUGUGUUUGUCAUUUUGGCGAAUUACUGGAAGAUGGUGGUUCCAGCUGAAAGGCUUUUUGGCAAUUUUUAACAGCUGAAAAUAAACCUUGAAAUAAACAUUUUCUCCUUUAACUGAUGUCUGGGAAGGAAGAAACAAAAAAAGAAAGAGAAGAAAGGAAAUAAGGAAGGAGGGAGGGAGAGAGUGAAGGAGGGAAGAAAAGAGAAUUAAACACGAUUAUCUACAUAUCAAUGGAAAAUUUCAAAUAUAUUCUAGCAUAAUUUUUUUCUACUUAGUAUCCAUUAAAAAAGGGAAUCAUUGUGGAAUGCUUAAAUCAAUCAAAUGAACACAGCCAUCCCUCGGAUACUUAUUUUUUUUUUUUUUUGUGGUGAGAACAUUUGAAAUUGAUUCUCUUAGUAGUUUCGAAAUGUGCCAUAUGUUAACUAUAGUCACUGUGCUGUGUAAUAGAUCUCAAAAAGUACUCCUCUGCAUCAUAUACAUAUAUCAUAACCUUGUAUUAUACCCCAUAAAUAUGUAUAAUUAUAAUCUGUCCGUUAAAAAUAAAAAUUAAGCUUUAAAAAA